CCUACGGGCGGCAGCAGUGAGGAAUAUUGGUCAAUGGGCGUGAGCCUGAACCAGCCAAGUCGCGUGAGGGAUGAAGGUUCUAUGGGUCGUAAACCUCUUUUAUCAGGGAGUAAAGUGUGGGACGUGUCAUAUUUUGUGUGUACCUUAUGAAUAAGGAUCGGCUAACUCCGUGCCAGCAGCCGCGGUAAUACGGAGGAUCCGAGCGUUAUCCGGAUUUAUUGGGUUUAAAGGGUGCGUAGGCGGCGUUUUAAGUCAGCGGUGAAAGUCUGUGGCUCAACCAUAGAAUUGCCGUUGAAACUGGGGGGCUUGAGUAUGUUUGAGGCAGGCGGAAUGCGUGGUGUAGCGGUGAAAUGCUUAGAUAUCACGCAGAACCCCGAUUGCGAAGGCAGCAUGCCAGGCCAUGACUGACGCUGAUGCACGAAAGCGUGGGGAUCAAACAGGAUUAGAUACCCGGGUAGUC
RNAcentral lists this ribosomal RNA (460 nucleotides) under uncultured bacterium. RNAcentral's name for it is "partial 16S ribosomal RNA". It matches the Rfam family "Bacterial small subunit ribosomal RNA", at positions 338 to 795 of the family's 1533-position model. The record is from RNAcentral.